UGGCUCAGAUGGUAAGAGCGUCUGCCUACAAUGCAGGAGACCCAGGUUCGAUACCUGG
RNAcentral lists this transfer RNA (58 nucleotides) under Bos taurus (domestic cattle). It matches the Rfam family "tRNA", at positions 8 to 63 of the family's 71-position model. From Rfam's summary of the family: Transfer RNA (tRNA) molecules are approximately 80 nucleotides in length. Their secondary structure includes four short double-helical elements and three loops (D, anti-codon, and T loops). RNAcentral also lists the same sequence under 2 other names. The record is from Rfam by way of RNAcentral. Lineage: Eukaryota; Metazoa; Chordata; Mammalia; Artiodactyla; Bovidae.